GACGAACGCUGGCGGCGUGCCUAAUACAUGCAAGUAGAACGCUGAAGGAGGAGCUUGCUCUUCUGGAUGAGUUGCGAACGGGUGAGUAACGCGUAGGUAACCUGCCUGGUAGCGGGGGAUAACUAUUGGAAACGAUAGCUAAUACCGCAUAACAGUAGAUGUUGCAUGACAUUUACUUAAAAGGUGCAAUUGCAUCACUACCAGAUGGACCUGCGUUGUAUUAGCUAGUUGGUGGGGUAACGGCUCACCAAGGCGACGAUACAUAGCCGACCUGAGAGGGGGGUCGGCCACACUGGGACUGAGACACGGCCCAGACUCCUACGGGAGGCAGCAGUAGGGAAUCUUCGGCAAUGGGCGGAAGUCUGACCGAGCAACGCCGCGUGAGGGAAGAAGGUUUUCGGAUCGUAAAGCUCUGUUGUAAGAGAAGAACGAGUGUGAGAGUGGAAAGUUCACACUGUGACGGUAUCUUAACAGAAAGGGACGGCUAACUACGUG
This 495-nucleotide ribosomal RNA is filed under the name uncultured bacterium. RNAcentral describes it as "partial 16S ribosomal RNA". It matches the Rfam family "Bacterial small subunit ribosomal RNA", at positions 28 to 507 of the family's 1533-position model. The record is from RNAcentral.